UAUUACUGCUAAUUAAUACAAAUCCAUCUAAUUCUAAUUCAACUAUUAUACUCAUGUUAAUGGACUAACAAAAGCAACGGAAGUGGACAAAAACCUGCGGGCCUUGGAUUCAACAGGCCCAAUCGGAGGGGGUAUGGAUAGUGAAGUGCAGUAUGCAAAUGCACUGAAGAACUGGGCCUAAGGCCCAAUUGACCCAAGGCUGCCUCAACGGGAUGUAUAUCCCUUAUUUCAUCCUCCCGAAUGUUCUAACGAACGUCUAACCAACUCCGCCGCGCCAGCUUACCACCGGCGGCGACGAAACUUCGUGCCAUCCCAAGCUCACCUCUCCACAUAGUCUUGCUGACCUCUCCUAAGCUAACCUAAAUGAGGAAAAAAAAUUCCACCUAGAAAAUCGAUUAGCUUAUUACCGUUGAUGACGAAGGAAGAUCCACCGCUCCGAUAAUCAACGGACACUCCGAUGAACCAAGAUGAUUGAUGCGUCCCUCCGGUUGAUUCCUUGCAACAGGGAAGAGCACACGAUGACGACAGAUCUAGAACACGUGUUCUCGUGUUGACCGGCGACGGAGAUUGCUCCGGUGAACCUGAAUUAACGACGGCGAGCUCCAAAGUUUCCGUGAGUUUACACGAUCUUCUUCCUCUACUAUCAGCUCCCUCUCCCUUUAUUUCCCGUAUAACUUCCUUAUUCGUAUUCCGUCAUGGAUUCUUAUUCAGUUGCUUGGAUCUGCUUCACUCUUCUUUGAAUUAUAUUGUUGUGAUGUGAAGGUUGAGUAACGUGUUAUGGUGCGAUUGGUAGAGUUGUUGUGGAUUGGAAAUGGAGGUUUGAUUGAAGGUUUUGGUUGAAGGUUUGGUCAAGGGAUCGGAAGAGGGAAUCGCGGUGAUGGUUAUGGAAGAAAAGUUGGUUAGAGAUGCGAUGGUGGGAAGAAGACGAUGGUUACCGUUGGUUCGCGUUUUGGAGCUGGUGGCGUAUUUGCCUUUCAUUGCGUUGCCUAGCAGCUUGUCUUUGCGUUUGGUAGCAGCUGCAGUUUCUUGGUUUUUGAUGCACUUCGUAGCAGCCUGAAGUGUCGGCUUGGCUACACUUGUUGGAUUUGGCUUGAUGGUUAUCGCAUUUCAUGGCUUACGGCUUACGUUUCUGCACUGCUUUUGUUGAGGUGAGCUGCGUUUCAUUGAUUUUGGCACUGCAUCUCUCGCGCGGUAGCUAUGGCUUGUAUUGGCUCUUUGGUAGCCGCUUUUUGCCAUGCACUUUGGCUUGCUUCUUUUUCCACAACAUUAUUUCCUUCAUUUUUCUUAAUGCACAUUAAUUAAUGGAUUAAUGAUAAGGGAUGUAAAAGGUGAAUUUUAGAUUCAACUGUAAUUAAUGGAAAAUGGAUAAUUGGACUUGUACAGGUUU
This is a long non-coding RNA of Lathyrus oleraceus (garden pea), 1387 nucleotides long. RefSeq lists it as uncharacterized. The transcript has 2 exons. Lineage: Eukaryota; Viridiplantae; Streptophyta; Magnoliopsida; Fabales; Fabaceae. The record is from RefSeq and is a predicted model, not a curated record.